Molecule: small nucleolar RNA, 124 nt
Organism: Homo sapiens (human)
Lineage: Eukaryota; Metazoa; Chordata; Mammalia; Primates; Hominidae
Source: Ensembl
AGCCACCGCACCCGGCCGGGCUGUAUUCUUACACUGACUGUAUAGAAAGAGGAGAUAGAGUAAACCUACCCCGUAUACUUCAGCCCACGCCCUGUGCCUGUUCUGUAUUAUGAAGCGGGGUUGG